Molecule: ribosomal RNA, 482 nt
Filed under: uncultured Smithella sp.
Lineage: Bacteria; Pseudomonadati; Thermodesulfobacteriota; Syntrophia; Syntrophales; Smithellaceae
Description: bacterial SSU rRNA
Rfam family: Bacterial small subunit ribosomal RNA
Source: RNAcentral
AGAGUUUGAUCCUGGCUCAGAAUGAACGUUGGCGGCGCGCCUAACACAUGCAAGUCGAGCGGGAAAGUUCCUUCGGGGACGAGUAGAGCGGCGGACGGGUGAGUAACGCGUGAGAAUCUACCCUUUAGUGAAGGAUACCUUUGAGAAAUUGAAGUUAAUACUGCAUAUCUUCCUCCGGGAAGAAAGAUGGCCUCUUGCUGUCGCUAAAGGAUGAGCUUGCGUACUAUUAGCUAGUUGGUGGGGUAAUGGCCUACCAAGGCGAUGAUGGUUAGCCGGCCUGAGAGGGUGAACGGCCACACUGGAACUGCGACACGGUCCAGACUCCUACGGGAGGCAGCAGUGAGGAAUAUUGCGCAAUGGGCGAAAGCCUGACGCAGCGACGCCGCGUGGAGGAUGAAGGUUCUAGGAUCGUAAACUCCUGUUAAGUGGGAAGAAAGACCUUCUUUUAAUAGAAGAGGGGGAUGACAGUACCACUAGAGAAG